GGAAAAAAGAUAAGUUGAAGAAAAAGAAGGAAAAGAAAAAAAAGAAAGAAAAAUCAGGACCAGUACAGCUUUCUAAGUUCUUAAAAGAUAAAAAGAAGAAUCAAAACUACAGUAUGAUCACAGGAAAGAAAAUUAAGAUGAAAAUAAAGAAGAGUAAAAAGGAUAAAGAGCGUGACCGAAACCGUGCUGAACUCCUUGAUUUCUUGAACUCUGCUUUGUAGUGAAUAUGCUACUAAGCAAGGACCAGUAAGUCUUUCAACUCAUUUGGUGAUCCUGCUUCCCAAAGCACCAAAUACAAGCUCAGAGUGAGAGCUGGAAGAACCCAAUGUGUGACAAGCGGAAACUGUCUUGCUGGGAAGAUAAUUGGUACCUCGGUUCACAACAGGCAAAGUAAAGAAUUUGACAAUUCGUCAAGAACCAUAUUGCCACUUCUGAGGGGCCCCUCAUACAAAAUUCUCUCUGGUGACUGCUUAAAAAUUGUAUGAUAUUGAAAAUUCUCUAAAGAGAGAUGACAUUGUUGUAUUUUGGCAUGCUGUGUAUAUCCCAGACAGCAUAUACAACUUUACCAUCAGUUGUCCUUUGUCAUUUUUCAUGUUAAAGCUGAGUGCUUGAAAAUAAGCUGUUUAAAAAGAAGCCUAUCUGUGUAUAGAUAUU
Gekko japonicus is the source of this 654-nucleotide long non-coding RNA. RefSeq lists it as uncharacterized. The record is from RefSeq and is a predicted model, not a curated record. The transcript has 3 exons. Lineage: Eukaryota; Metazoa; Chordata; Lepidosauria; Squamata; Gekkonidae.